GGGAAUGUGGCUCAGGUGGUAGCGCGCUCGCCUGGCAUGCGUGCGGCCUGGGUUCGAUUCUCAGCACCA
RNAcentral lists this transfer RNA (69 nucleotides) under Ictidomys tridecemlineatus (thirteen-lined ground squirrel). Its description in RNAcentral is "Spermophilus tridecemlineatus (thirteen-lined ground squirrel) tRNA". It matches the Rfam family "tRNA". Rfam says of the family: Transfer RNA (tRNA) molecules are approximately 80 nucleotides in length. Their secondary structure includes four short double-helical elements and three loops (D, anti-codon, and T loops). Further hydrogen bonds mediate the characteristic L-shaped molecular structure. tRNAs have two regions of fundamental functional importance: the anti-codon, which is responsible for specific mRNA codon recognition, and the 3' end, to which the tRNAs corresponding amino acid is attached (by aminoacyl-tRNA synthetases). tRNAs cope with the degeneracy of the genetic code in two manners: having more than one tRNA (with a specific anti-codon) for a particular amino acid; and 'wobble' base-pairing, i.e. permitting non-standard base-pairing at the 3rd anti-codon position. The record is from Rfam by way of RNAcentral. Lineage: Eukaryota; Metazoa; Chordata; Mammalia; Rodentia; Sciuridae.